This 497-nucleotide ribosomal RNA is filed under the name uncultured bacterium. Its description in RNAcentral is "partial 16S ribosomal RNA". It matches the Rfam family "Bacterial small subunit ribosomal RNA", at positions 28 to 507 of the family's 1533-position model. The record is from RNAcentral.
GACGAACGCUGGCGGCGUGCCUAAUACAUGCAAGUUGAGCGAUGAAGAUUGGUGCUUGCACCAAUUUGAAGAGCAGCGAACGGGUGAGUAACGCGUGGGGAAUCUGCCUUUGAGCGGGGGACAACAUUUGGAAACGAAUGCUAAUACCGCAUAACAACUUUAAACAUAAGUUUUAAGUUUGAAAGAUGCAAUUGCAUCACUCAAAGAUGAUCCCGCGUUGUAUUAGCUAGUUGGUGAGGUAAAGGCUCACCAAGGCGAUGAUACAUAGCCGACCUGAGAGGGUGAUCGGCCACAUUGGGACUGAGACACGGCCCAAACUCCUACGGGAGGCAGCAGUAGGGAAUCUUCGGCAAUGGACGAAAGUCUGACCGAGCAACGCCGCGUGAGUGAAGAAGGUUUUCGAAUCGUAAAACUCUGUUGGUAGAGAAGAACGUUGGUGAGAGUGGAAAGCUCAUCAAGUGACGGUAACUACCCAGAAAGGGACGGCUAACUACGUG